Long non-coding RNA from Alosa sapidissima (American shad), 1636 nucleotides. RefSeq lists it as uncharacterized. Lineage: Eukaryota; Metazoa; Chordata; Actinopteri; Clupeiformes; Clupeidae. The record is from RefSeq and is a predicted model, not a curated record. The transcript is spliced from 5 exons.
GAGCGAGCUAGAGCGGCGCUUGCUGGAGAGAAAACAGGAGCAGGGCAAAAGUCUUCGGACCACGUCUUUGACAUUUGAAUUUUUUAGGAUAAAUCCACGAUUUUAACACACGUUUUUUGGAGGGUCUACUGCUGUUCAGAAAAAGAACAAUUGGCACGGUACUGUGAAAUCUCAAGAAGUGAGUUUGAGGCUGAUCCGAAUGCCUGUGGUCCUCCACGCACCCCAGAGACAUAUGACGCAGCGGUUGCUGAUCUCCAGGCUGACAACAUCCAAGGCGUCAGAGGAAUAAAGUGGAAAUAUGGGUGACUCAGAGCGAACCUUCCUAGAUGUUGCCAUUAUGGAAGCCCUACCAGAACUUCCAGCGGUGAACAAAAACAUCCUGGAGGAGCACUUACAGUCCAUUGGAGUCGAGACCUCUGAGGAUCUACGCUUUGUAACAGAGGCAGAUUUAAUGACCGGACUAAGACCUGUGCAAGCCAGAAAGCUUAUUUCUAUUUGGAAACAGAAAUACCAAACUCCCGAGAACAGCUCAGGACAGCUAUCAUCUGUGGAAUCGCUGUCAUCGCUCUCUCUUUCACCCAGAAGUUCAACGUCAACCCGGGCAUGUCAUUUCGCCGCUACAAAAUGCUAUUUUUAUACCUCUUCUACAGUUCCAAACAACAUUACACUUUUGGCUUUCGGUUUGGCUUUAGGGACCCUCUACUCACUACCACGUGUUUUUUCUUGAUAAACCCAGAAAAAGGAACCAAAGUAGAGAACAAAAACUCCAAGCGUCAUCUCAACUUGAACCCUCGCGUCCUCACCCUGAUACAGGAACUCUCUGAUCACGAGUGGUGUGCCUAAAUAUGGACUCUUUCUGUGGACUCUGACUGUUUGUUUGAGAAGAGGUACUGUUAGUCUUUGCUAUGUUUAAAUCCAUGAUUUGUAUUAUGGUAAUUAAGGCACAAUAUGUAAGUUUUAUUUUAAAGUCUUCAAGGUGCACUAUGUAACUUCUGGUAGAGGGUCUGCCAUCUUCUUGUUUCAUGAAGAUCUUAUACUUUGCAGGAAUGUUCCAAAGUAUGGUAUAAAACUUAUUUACCUUUCAUUUAUUCAAUUAGAGCUGUUUUUAUUGCAAAAAAUACCUUAACAAACUGUGAGGGGGCUCACCUCUCCACAGAUCUGAUCUGUAAUUUGGCCUGUUGGCAUCACCUGAUUGUCUCCAUGGAGAUAUAGUUUUAUGCCAUACUGUGGAACAUUCCAGACAGGGAGAGUGUGGUGUUGUUGUUAUGCACCUGGCACUUAAACUUUGUGUGACAGAAAUAUGUUCAGAUUUAAAGAGGUUAAUGUCCAGAUUUAGUGAGGCUUGUCUUCUGGAUUAUUUCAACUUGGAUUCAGUCAAGGUUAAAAGAACCAUUACAUGUAGGUUCUUUGCAUGUUGUUUGUAUACGUUGAAAAGAAAACACAUCCAACUGUUUUAUGGCGUACUGUGGAACAUUCCAGACAGGGAGAGUGUGGGCUGUUGUUGUGCGCCUGGCACUUAAAGGAGAAUUCCGGUGUGAUAUUGACCUAAAGUGUAUCGAAACAUGAUACCGAGUGUGAACGUAUGUCUCAUAGCCCAUCUCGGCUUGUUCCCUGCACUCCAAAAUCUGGCGCUAGU